Zingiber officinale is the source of this 1404-nucleotide RNA transcript. RefSeq lists it as uncharacterized. The transcript is spliced from 2 exons. NCBI's taxonomy places the organism in Eukaryota, Viridiplantae, Streptophyta, Magnoliopsida, Zingiberales, Zingiberaceae. The record is from RefSeq and is a predicted model, not a curated record.
CCCAAACCCCACCCACCCGCCACGACACCCGCCGUAUCGACAAAAGAGGAAACAACGAGAAGGGGGAGGAAUUCUCAGAGAGAUCAAUAAGGAGCGAGGCAGCAAGCAACCUCUCUGUUUUGAGUUUUGACCCGAGAAAUGGAAGCUUCUCGACAGCCGGAAGCAGCGUCGAAGCCAUCGCCGAUGAUCGCAGCGAGAGGAGACGGCGAAGAAAUCGAAUCCCCCCAGCAGAGAAGGUAGCUUCCCAUCUCCUCCUCCUCCUCCUUCAUCUUCGCUUCUCCACCAAAUCGGUAUGUGCCCCUUUUUUUUUUUAUUGAGAGAAAUUUAUAUCUAGGAGUCGAUCUGAAUACAUGGUUGUGUUUCUAGGGAGAAAUUUUGAUUCUAGAUCCGUUUUCUUCGUCAUGUCGACUACGUUGAUUAGUAGCGGGGCUGAAGCCACCGUGGUGGCGGCGGCGGCGGCGGCCGCAGUGGAGGUGGAGUUCGCGUCGUGCGACUGCUGCGGCCUCACGGAGGAGUGCACGCCGGCGUAUAUCGCGGUUGUGCGGGAGCGGCAUGUUGGGAGGUGGAUCUGCGGCCUCUGCGCGGAGGCCGUGCAGGACGAGAUCCGCCGCUCGGAACUCAUGAUCUCCACGGAAGAGGCCAUGGGCCGGCACGCCACCUUCUGCCGGAGCUUCAGGUCCGCCGAGGAGCCGGCGGUGGACCCGGCGGAGCAGCUGAUCGCGGCCGUCAAACAUCUCCUCCGGCGGAGCCUCGAGUCGCCGCGGGCGGUGCGGUCGACGCCGAGCAGCCCGCGGACCGGCGGUGGCCUUAGGCCCCGGUCCAACCUGGUCCGUACAGGGAGCGGCUUUCCGGAGCUGCUUGGUUGAGACUGAAACACAAACGUUGUCGAAAUCACAUGGAGGCCAAACAGACGACCGUGAAUAACAAGACAAAGAAGGAAAAAUUCCCAAAUUGCAACGAAGAGCCUAUCAACAAAUCAGUUUCAUGAUCCGGAGAAUAGCAUUUUAGGCCAAAAUUCUAGUUAAUCAGCAUCCUGGUCGAAGUUAUUAUUCAUUCUCCACCAGUCGUCCUUGGAUAGGUCUUCAUGACAAGUGAUGGAUGGAAGUGGAGAUUAAUUGCUGGAAUUUGUCAUUAAUGCCAUGAUUCCAUGACUCCUUGUUUUUUUUAGAUAAUUCAAGUUGCAGCUGAACUGAUUAAUCUGGAGGUGGUUGACCGAAGUGAUCGGUCCAGAUUAAUCAGUUGGAUACUUCGAAAUUUUUUUGAUAAGGUCCUCUACGACGCCUUCUUAGGAAGAAAUGAGGAAGCAGAAUAGUCGCAUCAUCUGUUCAGCUGUAAUUGUUAUGUAAUAGUUUUUUGUGGCGUUCCUUAUGUUUUUGUUAGUUUACAUUAAGUAUUAUUCAUAAA